AACGAACGCUGGCGGCAGGCCUAACACAUGCAAGUCGAGCGCCCUUUCGGGGGAGCGGCGGAAGGGUGAGUAACGCGUGGGAAUAUGCCCUUCUCUACGGAAUAGCCUCGGGAAACUGAGAGUAAUACCGUAUACGCCCAUUGGGGGAAAGAUUUAUCGGGGAAGGAUUAGCCCGCGUUGGAUUAGGUAGUUGGUGGGGUAAUGGCCUACCAAGCCGACGAUCCAUAGCUGGGUUGAGAGGAUGAUCAGCCACACUGGGACUGAGACACGGCCCAGACUCCUGCGGGAGGCAGCAGUGGGGAAUCUUAGACAAUGGGGGCAACCCUGAUCUAGCCAUGCCGCGUGAGUGAUGAAGGCCUUAGGGUUGUAAAGCUCUUUCAGCUGGGAAGAUAAUGACGGUACCAGCAGAAGAAGCCCCGGCUAACUCCGUG
RNAcentral lists this ribosomal RNA (431 nucleotides) under uncultured bacterium. RNAcentral's name for it is "partial 16S ribosomal RNA". It matches the Rfam family "Bacterial small subunit ribosomal RNA", at positions 29 to 507 of the family's 1533-position model. The record is from RNAcentral.